UACAGAGGUCUCAAGCGUUGUUCGGAUUCAUUGGGCGUAAAGGGUGCGUAGGUGGUGAUGCAAGUCCGGUGUGAAAUCUCGGAGCUCAACUCCGAAAUUGCACCGGAUACUGCGUGACUCGAGGACUGUAGAGGAGACUGGAAUUCAUGGUGUAGCAGUGAAAUGCGUAGAGAUCAUGAGGAAGACCAGUGGCGAAGGCGGGUCUCUGGACAGUUCCUGACACUGAGGCACGAAGGCCAGGGGAGCAAACGGG
This 253-nucleotide ribosomal RNA is filed under the name uncultured bacterium. RNAcentral describes it as "partial 16S ribosomal RNA". It matches the Rfam family "Bacterial small subunit ribosomal RNA", at positions 524 to 776 of the family's 1533-position model. The record is from RNAcentral.